RNAcentral lists this ribosomal RNA (498 nucleotides) under uncultured bacterium. RNAcentral describes it as "partial 16S ribosomal RNA". It matches the Rfam family "Bacterial small subunit ribosomal RNA", at positions 30 to 523 of the family's 1533-position model. The record is from RNAcentral.
AUUGAACGCUGGCGGCAUGCCUUACACAUGCAAGUCGAACGGUAACAGGUCUUCGGAUGCUGACGAGUGGCGAACGGGUGAGUAAUACAUCGGAGCGUGCCUAGUAGUGGGGGAUAACUACUCGAAAGAGUGGCUAAUACCGCAUGAGAUCUACGGAUGAAAGCAGGGGAUCGCAAGACCUUGUGCUACUAGAGCGGCCGAUGGCAGAUUAGGUAGUUGGUGGGAUAAAAGCUUACCAAGCCGACGAUCUGUAGCUGGUCGGAGAGGACGAUCAGCCACACUGGGACUGAGACACGGCCCAGACUCCUACGGGAGGCAGCAGUGGGGAAUUUUGGACAAUGGGCGCAAGCCUGAUCCAGCAAUGCCGCGUGCAGGAUGAAGGCCUUCGGGUUGUAAACUGCUUUUGUACGGAACGAAAAGCCCCGGGUUAAUACCCUGGGGUCAUGACGGUGCCGUAAGAAUAAGCACCGGCUAACUACGUGCCAGCCGCCGCAGUAA